Molecule: ribosomal RNA, 540 nt
Filed under: Halorubrum sp. AJ102
Lineage: Archaea; Methanobacteriati; Methanobacteriota; Halobacteria; Halobacteriales; Haloferacaceae
Description: bacterial SSU rRNA
Rfam family: Archaeal small subunit ribosomal RNA
Source: RNAcentral
ACGGGGUGCAGCAGGCGCGAAACCUUUACACUGCACGCCAGUGCGAUAAGGGAAUCCCAAGUGCGCAGGCAUAGAGCCUGCGCUUUUGUACACCGUAGGGAGGUGUACGAAUAAGGGCUGGGCAAGACCGGUGCCAGCCGCCGCGGUAAUACCGGCAGCCCGAGUGAUGGCCGAUUUUAUUGGGCCUAAAGCGUCCGUAGCUGGCCGCACAAGUCCAUCGGAAAAUCCACCCGCCCAACGGGUGGGCGUCCGGUGGAAACUGUGUGGCUUGGGACCGGAAGGCGCGACGGGUACGUCCGGGGUAGGAGUGAAAUCCCGUAAUCCUGGACGGACCGCCGAUGGCGAAAGCACGUCGCGAGGACGGAUCCGACAGUGAGGGACGAAAGCCAGGGUCUCGAACCGGAUUAGAUACCCGGGUAGUCCUGGCCGUAAACAAUGUCUGUUAGGUGUGGCUCCCGCUACGAGCGGGUGCUGUGCCGUAGGGAAGCCGCUAAACAGACCGCCUGGGANNUACGUCNNCNAGGAUGAAACUUAAAGGAA